Molecule: ribosomal RNA, 312 nt
Filed under: Notorhopalotria montgomeryensis
Lineage: Eukaryota; Metazoa; Arthropoda; Insecta; Coleoptera; Belidae
Description: partial 16S large subunit ribosomal RNA
Rfam family: Bacterial large subunit ribosomal RNA (bases 177-312)
Source: RNAcentral
GACCCUAUAGAGUUUUAUAAAUUUUAUUAUUUAAAUUUUUUAGAAUUUUUUAUUUUGAUAAUAAAAUUUAUUUGGUUGGGGUGACUAAAAAAUUAAAUAAACUUUUUUAUAAUUAUAUCACUGAUUUGUGUACAUUUGAUCCAUUAUUUAUGAUUAUUAGAUAAAAUUACCUUAGGGAUAACAGCGUUAUUUUCUUUGAGAGUUCAAAUCGAAAAGAAAGUUUGCGACCUCGAUGUUGGAUUAAAAUAAACUCCUGGUGUAGCAGCUAGGAAAGUUUGGUCUGUUCGACCAUUAAAAUUUUACAUGAUCUGA